This is a long non-coding RNA of Helianthus annuus (common sunflower), 886 nucleotides long. RefSeq lists it as uncharacterized. The record is from RefSeq and is a predicted model, not a curated record. NCBI's taxonomy places the organism in Eukaryota, Viridiplantae, Streptophyta, Magnoliopsida, Asterales, Asteraceae. The transcript has 3 exons.
AAUCUUCUUUGAAGAUCAUCCAUGGUCAUCUUCUUCACCAACAUGAUAUCAUUAAAAACCCUUACCUCCGUCUCUGGCAGCUAGGGUUUUGUUGAGCCGAUUUCUAGCUUCAUGUCUGGUUUUCAUGAAGAUCUGUGGUGUUAAUGGUGUACCUGUACGACGUUCUGCUAGGAAGCAUGGGUUUUAGCCAAAUUUUGGUAAUUCAGACGCGAUUCCGGUGAGCCCAAAGUCGGCAGAAGGUGAAUAAGAGAUCGGCCGUAACGAUAGUGACAUGGUUCGGGCAGAGGAUGAGGCUAUCUUAUAGUACUGUGAAUCAGUGACCUAUUUUUAAUCCGAAGGAACCCGAGCGACUUCACCUCUCCGAAGAAAAGGAUCCAAUAAAAUCGAUUAGUUUUGGUAACUCAAACCCUGUGUGUCAUGCAUUUGAUCCCAAAGCUAAAGACGGGCAUGACUUUCUUAUCGGGUUGAACACGCGCGACGGUAACAAAUUUUCACUAAUUCCAAUUUACAAAGGGAAUUUCGAUAUUAGACUCUUCACUUAUUUUGUACACGCUUUUUAGUACCGAACUUUUUUGGUUGAGCUGCCCAUGGUUAUGGUUUGCAAGUAGGGAUGAGCAAAUGGUACCCGGUACCGGUAUCGAAUGUUUCCAUACCGGGUACACUUUUAGUACCGAUUCGGUACCAACUUUUUGAGAUUUUCAGUACCGGUACCGAACCGUACCGGGUAUAUUCAGUACCGCUACCGGUGCCCACUUUUGGGGAUUCUCGGUACCGGUCAUCCCUAUUUGCAAGAACUCUACAAUUUAUAAAUUUAUGCUUCGUUUUUGUUAUGAUUUUGUAACAUUAAUAUUUUUCCCCAUUUCAUUGACCUGCACUUGAUUACAGU